CAGUUCAGAUUGCAGGCUGCAACUCGCCUGCAUGAAGUCGGAAUUGCUAGUAAUCGCAGAUCAGCAUGCUGCGGUGAAUACGUUCCCGGGCCUUGUACACACCGCCCGUCACACCAUGGGAGUCGGUAACACCCGAAGUCGGUAGCCUAACCGUAAGGAGGGCGCCGCCGAAGGUGGGAUUGAUGACUGGGGUGAAGUCGUAACAAGGUACC
RNAcentral lists this ribosomal RNA (212 nucleotides) under uncultured bacterium. RNAcentral describes it as "partial 16S ribosomal RNA". It matches the Rfam family "Bacterial small subunit ribosomal RNA", at positions 1289 to 1500 of the family's 1533-position model. The record is from RNAcentral.